This 467-nucleotide ribosomal RNA is filed under the name uncultured bacterium. RNAcentral describes it as "partial 16S ribosomal RNA". It matches the Rfam family "Bacterial small subunit ribosomal RNA", at positions 28 to 507 of the family's 1533-position model. The record is from RNAcentral.
GACGAACGCUGGCGGCGUGCUUAACACAUGCAAGUCGAACGGAAAGGCCUCUUUCGGGGGGUACUCGAGUGGCGAACGGGUGAGUAACACGUGAGUAACCUGCCCUUGACUUUGGGAUAACUUCAGGAAACCGGGGCUAAUACCGGAUAGGAGCUCCUGCUGCAUGGUGGGGGUUGGAAAGUUUCGGCGGUUGGGGAUGGACUCGCGGCUUAUCAGCUUGUUGGUGGGGUAGUGGCUUACCAAGGCUUUGACGGGUAGCCGGCCUGAGAGGGUGACCGGCCACAUUGGGACUGAGAUACGGCCCAGACUCCUACGGGAGGCAGCAGUGGGGAAUAUUGCACAAUGGGUGGAAGCCUGAUGCAGCAACGCCGGGUGCGGGAUGACGGCCUUCGGGUUGUAAACCGCUUUCGCUCAUGACGAAGCUUUGUGUGACGGUAGUGGGUAAAGAAGCACCGGCUAACUACGUG